AUUGAACGCUGGCGGCAUGCCUUACACAUGCAAGUCGAACGGCAGCGGACCUUCGGGUGCCGGCGAGUGGCGAACGGGUGAGUAAUGCAUCGGAACGUGCCAUUGAGUGGGGGAUAACGUAGCGAAAGUUGCGCUAAUACCGCAUAUUCUGUGAGCAGGAAAGCAGGGGACCGCAAGGCCUUGCGCUCUUUGAGCGGCCGAUGUCAGAUUAGCUAGUUGGUGAGGUAACGGCUUACCAAGGCGACGAUCUGUAGCGGGUCUGAGAGGAUGAUCCGCCACACUGGAACUGAGACACGGUCCAGACUCCUACGGGAGGCAGCAGUGGGGAAUUUUGGACCAAAUGGGGGCGAACCCUGAUCCAGCCAUGCCGCGU
This 373-nucleotide ribosomal RNA is filed under the name uncultured bacterium. RNAcentral describes it as "bacterial SSU rRNA". It matches the Rfam family "Bacterial small subunit ribosomal RNA", at positions 30 to 402 of the family's 1533-position model. The record is from RNAcentral.